Acomys russatus (golden spiny mouse) is the source of this 132-nucleotide small nucleolar RNA. RefSeq annotates it as small nucleolar RNA SNORA17. The record is from RefSeq and is a predicted model, not a curated record. NCBI's taxonomy places the organism in Eukaryota, Metazoa, Chordata, Mammalia, Rodentia, Muridae. The transcript has a single exon.
CCUAUCCCUAGAGGUGUUGCAGAUGUAGCUGCUGUGUCACAUGUGUGUCAGUAGGUGGCAAAGAAGCAAGAGGCUAAGUCGAUGCUCAGUGUUCUGACCUAUGGACAUCUGAAUGAUUUGUAGCCAAACAUU